AGUGAACGCUGGCGGUAGGCCUAACACGUGCAAGUCGAACGGCAGCACAGUAAGAGCUUGCUCUUACGGGUGGCGAGUGGCGGACGGGUGAGGAAUACAUCGGAAUCUACUUUUUCGUGGGGGAUAACGUAGGGAAACUUACGCUAAUACCGCAUACGACCUACGGGUGAAAGCAGGGGAUCUUCGGACCUUGCGCGAUUGAAUGAGCCGAUGUCGGAUUAGCUAGUUGGCGGGGUAAAGGCCCACCAAGGCGACGAUCCGUAGCUGGUCUGAGAGGAUGAUAAGCCACACUGGAACGGAGACACGGUCAAGACUCCUACGGGAGGCAGCAGUGGGGAAUAUUGGACAAUGGGCGCAAGCAUGAUCCAGCCAUACCGCGUGGGUGAAGAAGGCCUUCGGGUUGUAAAGACCUUUUGUUGGGAAAGAAAAGCAGCAGGUUAAUACCCCGCUGUUCUGACGGUACCCAAAGAAUAAGCACCGGCUAACUUCGUG
Molecule: ribosomal RNA, 492 nt
Filed under: uncultured bacterium
Lineage: Bacteria
Description: partial 16S ribosomal RNA
Rfam family: Bacterial small subunit ribosomal RNA
Source: RNAcentral